This 631-nucleotide transfer RNA is filed under the name Kamptonema animale CCALA 138. RNAcentral's name for it is "partial 16S-23S ribosomal RNA intergenic spacer". The stretch from base 275 to 347 matches the Rfam family "tRNA". The record is from RNAcentral. Lineage: Bacteria; Bacillati; Cyanobacteriota; Cyanophyceae; Oscillatoriales; Microcoleaceae.
UAGGGAGACCAACUGAAAUUAACCUAAUCCACUUUCACGGUUAAUAUUCAGAUAUCCCUGGUCGUUCGAGGAAAUUGUUGUCAAACGUGCUUUCAAACUAUUACCUAGUUCGGUYGAUGGGCUAUUAGCUCAGUUGGUUAGAGCGCACCCCUGAUAAGGGUGAGGUCUCUGGUUCAAAUCCAGAAUGGCCCACCUUAAUUAGAAGUUAAAAAUCUCUAAUUAGAAAUCCUAAAUUUUUAAUUUGUAAUUUUUAAUUUGUAAUUUCCCAAAGCGUGGGGGUAUAGCUCAGUUGGUAGAGCGCUGCCUUUGCAAGGCAGAUGUCAGCGGUUCGAGUCCGCUUACCUCCACUCUUACCCAACCAGCCGAAAACAAACAGAAACAAAAGACCAAAAACAAAAAAAUAAGUCAAAAAACUGUUGCGCUUUUAGCAAUAUGUGAUAGACUAGAAAGAGUGACUAUAAAAGCUCAGCACCUAGAUUCAGCUACUAGCUAAUCGGAAUGCUGGUCUUCCAAGUCCAGCCAGAACCUUGAAAACUGCAUAGAAAUAAGUCAUCAAAAAGUUUGAGAGACAUUUACCAGGAAUUUAUUCUAGGUGAAAGUCAAAUCAAGCCGACAAUCAAACAAAAAAAGU